GACGAACGCUGGCGGCGUGCCUAAUACAUGCAAGUAGAACGCUGACGCGAGGAGCUUGCUCUUCUUGGGUGAGCUGCGGACGGGUGAGUAACGCGUAGGUAACCUGCCUUUUAGCGGGGGAUAACUAUUGGAAACGAUAGCUAAUACCGCAUAACAAUGGAUGACACAUGUCGUUUAUUUGAAAGGGGCAAUUGCUCCACGACAAGAUGGACCUGCGUUGUAUUAGCUAGUAGGUGAGGUAACGGCUCACCUAGGCGACGAUACAUAGCCGACCUGAGAGGGGGGACGGCCAAACUGGGAACGGGACCAGGGCCAGAACCCCACGGGGAGGAGGCGGAGGGAAUCUUCGGCAAUGGGGGGAAAGCCGACCGCGGAAAGACGCGUGAGGGGAGAGGGUUUUCGGAUCGUAAAGGUCUGUUGUAAGUCAAGAACGAGUGUGAGAGUGGAAAGUUCACAUUGUGACGGUACCUAAACAGAAAGCGACGGCUAACUACGUG
RNAcentral lists this ribosomal RNA (497 nucleotides) under uncultured bacterium. Its description in RNAcentral is "partial 16S ribosomal RNA". It matches the Rfam family "Bacterial small subunit ribosomal RNA", at positions 28 to 507 of the family's 1533-position model. The record is from RNAcentral.